GAGGGGAAGGGAGCUGUCGUGGGGGAGGGGACGGAGUGGGAGGCGGCCGUGAAACCGAGCCCCCAACCAGGAAAUGGGAGGCCAAGGGAUUAGCCGAGAUGACAGAUUGGAAGGAGAAGGUGGAAUAUGGAGCCUUGAUGAUGCCUUCUACAUUGACUGAUUCCUCCAGACAGAGAUAUGGCAGUUAUGAUGGACAGGAACAUGUAAAUCUUCACUGAGUAUGAAAUAACAAUUAGAAAAUAAAGGAGUGAAACAAACAAAAGGAGAAGACAAACAGAAACAUAAGAGAAAUGAUACUGAUGUUAGUAGAAUACUAUUAGCUUGUCUGUCUGUAUUUCUGUAUUAUAUGUUGCCAGCAGGAGUGGUGAGGUGAUUAUCCCCUGGUGAGGCUGCACCUUGAGUACUGUGUUCAGUUUUGGGCCCCUCACUACCAGAAAUAUACAUUGAGUCCCUGGAGUGUGUGCAGAGAAAGGCAGUAAAACUGGUGAGGGGUUUGGAGCACAAGUCUUAUGAGGAGCGAUAGAGGGAACUGGGAUAGUUUAAUACGGAGAAGAGGAGGCUCAGGGGACACCUUAUAGGUACUUACAGCUACGUGAAAGGAGGUUGUGACAAGGUUGAGGUUAGCCUGUUCUCUCACAUAACCAGCAAUAGGAUGAGAGGGAAUGGCCUCAGAUUGCACCAGAGGAGGUUCAGGGUGGAUAUUAGGAAAAACCUCUUCUCCAAAACAGUGGUCAGCUGGUGGAAUGGGAUGCCCAUGGAGGUGGUUGAGUCACUGUCCCUGGAGGUGUUCAAGAAAUGCCUAGAUGUUGUACUAAGGGACAUGGUUUAGUGGGGAAAUGGUGGUGGUAGGUGGAUAGUUGGACUCGAUGAUCUUGGUCCUUUCCAACCUUGGUGAUUCUAUGAUUCUGUGUUUCUAUAUGAAGUACUGCUUUCAGGUGUGAUGCUUAUGUCUCAAACAGGCACACAAUUACAGAAAUUUGAGUUCAGAAAUAUCUGAAAAUACUGAUGAAAAAAAAACGAAAGUUUGGGAAUGUUCUGUUUAGCAAGUAAUAUGUGACAACAGCUAUUAAAAGCUAUGAAAAAAUACUGAAUGGCACAGAGAUUUCAGGCUUUCCAUUUGUCCUUUGAAAAAAUGUGUCAAGGGCAUAUUGUGAAAACUGAAUGUCAUGCAAUGUGAAUGUACUGAAUUACAGCAGUCAGGAAGCCUAAUGGGGUUUGUAGUCUCUGUAUUAGAACUGCCUGUUGCAGCCCAUCCUCCAUAUGAUGUGAAAGAAGCUGCCCCAGUACACCACCUUCCUAUGACAAUGGCAGCUCACUCAGACCUGAAGAAUUAAAUAUAUGUGAUUUCUGUAUCACUUAACAGAAAUCAGUUCCACAAGUUCAUAACGUAUCUUUUUUAUUUUGCUGAGUUUAUUUAUACUCCAGGCAUUACAUUGCAGUCUCUGUUUAUCUCACAAGAUAGACCAAUUUUGAGCUUUUUUCCAUUACAUUUCCAUUCAAAUUGUGAAAUGAGAAAAAAUUUCUAAUUAUUUUAUUAAAUCCCCUCAUGGCAGUCUGAAUUUCUGGCACUAGAUAUAUUCUAUGGAUCUUUUGUUUAGCAUUUUAGAAUUGCCAUUUUAGUAUAAACUUUGCUGCUACCUGUGAAGAAGAUAUUUUCAGGGAGCAGUGGCUGAGGAGCCAUGCCAGAAGCAACCGUCUAGCCUGACUCACUGCCACAGUGCUGAAAGCAAAUUUGUGAGGCCUCGGAUUUAGAGCUCCCUCCCUCUUCAAUUCUUUUGUUGUAAAAGCUUUCCCAAAUUUUUCAGACAUUAGAAUUUUACUGUAAAGUACAAAGAACUGUGGCCAUAAAUUCUUUUCAUAAUUCAUGAGCCCACUUUAUAGCUUUUCUAAACUGUAGAAUUUUAUUCCUGGUUUUUAGUAUGUGAUAAACUUUCCUGUCUUUCUGUUCCCUGUUUAUCACUACCACCAGCACCAGUUGGUCAAAUUGUGGUCUGAUUCAUUAGAAAAGAGGUACCCUCUUUUAUCAGAUGUAUGGAAAAGAAUAAAUUUGUUUGUGAAGAGACUGUGAGUUUAAGCUGAAAGUACAUUUAAUAUUAUCAAGCAUAGAACGCUAAUAUUUUAUACUCUCAACUGUGCUGCUGAAAGCAACAUCUUUUAUAUAUUCCACUUCUGCAUGUGCCCUCUCUAGCUAUUUAAUAUUUAAUAGUGCAAUGCAGUUACAAAUAAAGGUGUGAAUUUCCCCUGC
This is a long non-coding RNA of Numida meleagris (helmeted guineafowl), 2245 nucleotides long. RefSeq lists it as uncharacterized. The record is from RefSeq and is a predicted model, not a curated record. Lineage: Eukaryota; Metazoa; Chordata; Aves; Galliformes; Numididae. The transcript is spliced from 2 exons.